This 431-nucleotide ribosomal RNA is filed under the name Pseudomonas sp. EGU642. RNAcentral describes it as "bacterial SSU rRNA". It matches the Rfam family "Bacterial small subunit ribosomal RNA", at positions 1043 to 1476 of the family's 1533-position model. The record is from RNAcentral. Lineage: Bacteria; Pseudomonadati; Pseudomonadota; Gammaproteobacteria; Pseudomonadales; Pseudomonadaceae.
ACAUGGAUGUCGUCAGGUCGUGUCGUGAGAUCAUGGGAUAAGUACCGUACGAGCGCAACCCUUUGUCCCUAGUUUACAGCACGUAAUGGUGCGCACUCUAAGGAGACUGAGGUGACACUCGGAGGAAGGUGGGAUGACGUCAAGUCAUCAAGGCCUUACGGCCAGGGCUACACACGUGCUACAAUGGUCGGUACAAAGGGUUGCCAAGCCGCGAGGUGGAGCUAAUCCCAUAAAACCGAUCGUAGUCCGGAUCGCAGUCUGCAACUCGACUGCGUGAAGUCGGAAUCGCUAGUAAUCGUGAAUCAGAAUGUCACAGGUGAAUACGUUCCCGGGCCUUGUACACACCGCCCGUCUACACCGAUGGGAGUGGGUUGCUCCAGAAGUAGCUAGUCUAACAUACGGGGAGACGUUACUACGGAGUGAUCAUGCCG